Molecule: ribosomal RNA, 508 nt
Filed under: uncultured bacterium
Lineage: Bacteria
Description: partial 16S ribosomal RNA
Rfam family: Bacterial small subunit ribosomal RNA
Source: RNAcentral
GACGAACGCGGGCGGCGGGCCGAAUACAUGCAAGUCGAACGCUUCUUUCCUCCCGAGUGCUUGCACUCAAUUGGAAAGAGGAGUGGCGGACGGGUGAGUAACACGUGGGUAACCUACCCAUCAGAGGGGGAUAACACUUGGAAACAGGUGCUAAUACCGCAUAACAGUUUAUGCCGCAUGGCAUAAGAGUGAAAGGCGCUUUCGGGUGUCGCUGAUGGAUGGACCCGCGGUGCAUUAGCUAGUUGGUGAGGUAACGGCUCACCAAGGCCACGAUGCAUAGCCGACCUGAGAGGGUGAUCGGCCACACUGGGACUGAGACACGGCCCAGACUCCUACGGGAGGCAGCAGUAGGGAAUCUUCGGCAAUGGACGAAAGUCUGACCGAGCAACGCCGCGUGAGUGAAGAAGGUUUUCGGAUCGUAAAACUCUGUUGUUAGAGAAGAACAAGGACGUUAGUAACUGAACGUCCCCUGACGGUAUCUAACCAGAAAGCCACGGCUAACUACGUG